UGUUGCCUUUGUUGUUGGUGGACAAGGUUUUUUCCCUUUAGGUGAUGGUUUAAUUACUGGUGGAACUGUGACUGGUGGAAUUCCAAUAGGUGGCAAAUCAACUGGAGGUUUUACAAUUGGUGGAACUGUGACCGGUGGAAUCCCAACAGGUGGCAAAUCAACAGGUGGUUUUACGAUUGGUGGAAUUCCGACAGGUGGCAAUUUGACUGGUGGUUUUACGAUCGGUGGAAUUCCGAUAGGGGGCAAAUUAACAGGUGGUUUCACGAUUGGUGGAAUUCCGAUAGGGGGCAAAUCGACAGGGGGUUUGACAAUGGGAGUGGGAACUUUGGGCUUUUUGGGCUUGUGAGAAGGUUUACCACAAUAGCCACAUCCAAGAAUGGGAGUGAAUGAAGAAAGGAAAAGCAUAGAAAUGAAAAGAAGUGAAGUUAUC
Molecule: long non-coding RNA, 430 nt
Filed under: Solanum lycopersicum (tomato)
Lineage: Eukaryota; Viridiplantae; Streptophyta; Magnoliopsida; Solanales; Solanaceae
Description: partial TCONS_00187693
Source: RNAcentral